This 468-nucleotide ribosomal RNA is filed under the name uncultured bacterium. Its description in RNAcentral is "partial 16S ribosomal RNA". It matches the Rfam family "Bacterial small subunit ribosomal RNA", at positions 28 to 507 of the family's 1533-position model. The record is from RNAcentral.
GACGAACGCUGGCGGCGUGCUUAACACAUGCAAGUCGAACGGAAAGGCCCUGCUUUUGUGGGGUGCUCGAGUGGCGAACGGGUGAGUAACACGUGAGUAACCUGCCCUUGACUUUGGGAUAACUUCAGGAAACUGGGGCUAAUACCGGAUAGGAGCUCCUGCUGCAUGGUGGUGGUUGGAAAGUUUCGGCGGUUGGGGAUGGACUCGCGGCUUAUCAGCUUGUUGGUGAGGUAGUGGUUUACCAAGGCUUUGACGGGUAGCCGGCCUGAGAGGGUGACCGGCCACAAUGGGACUGAGGUACGGCGCAGACUCCUACGGGAGGCAGUAGUGGGGAAUAUUGCAGAAUGGGCGGAAGCCUGAUGCAGCAACGCCGCGUGCGGGAUGACGGCCUUCGGGUGGUAAACCGCUUUCGCCUGUGACGAAGCGUGAGUGACGGUAAUGGGUAAAGAAGCACCGGCUAACUACGUG